This 1351-nucleotide ribosomal RNA is filed under the name Marumba gaschkewitschii. Its description in RNAcentral is "16S ribosomal RNA". Lineage: Eukaryota; Metazoa; Arthropoda; Insecta; Lepidoptera; Sphingidae. The record is from RNAcentral.
GGGGGAAAAUUUAAAUAGAUAAUAAUUAAUAAAAAAAAUUUUAAUAUAAAAAUAUUUAAUGGGGGUUAAAGUAUUUUUAUAGAAAAAAUUUAAAUUUUUAUAGUUAAGUAGUAUUGUAUAAGAAAGUUGAAAUAAUAAGUGAAAAAAAAAUUAUUUAAAAGUAAAUUCAAAUUAUUGUAUCUUGUGUAUCAGAGUUUAUUAAAUAGGAUUUAUUUUUUAAAUUUCUCGAAUUUAAAAGAGUUAAUUAAUUAAAAAAUUUAUUGUUUCAUAAAUAUUUUAAAUAGUUAAUUAGAAAUGAAAUGUUAUUCGUUUUUAAAUAUAUCUAGUUUUUUUAGAAAAAAAUUAAAUUUUAAAUUAAAUUUAAAAAUUAAUUAAUUAAUUAAUUAAUUUUUAAAUUUAAUUAAAUAUUUUAAGGGAUAAGCUUUAAAUUAAAUUUUUAUAAUUUAAAAAUGAAUAUUUUUGAAAAUUUUAUAAUUUAUAUUGUUAAUAAAUUUUAAUUUAUUAUAAAUAAUUUCAAUAAAAUUUAAAAUUUAAUUAAAAAUUUAAUUUAUUAUAAAAAAAUAAAAAUAAAUUUUAUAUUUUUAGUUAUAAUGAUAAAAUUAGUAAAUAAAAUGUGAUAUAAAUUAAAAUUUAUUAUAUAAUAAUUAUUUUAAAGGAAUUCGACAAAUGUAUAUAUUUACCUGUUUAUCAAAAACAUGUCUUUUUGAUUAUAAUUUAAAGUCUAAUCUGCCCACUGAUAAAUAAAUUAAAGGGCUGCAGUAUAUUGACUGUACAAAGGUAGCAUAAUCAUUAGUCUCUUAAUUGGUGACUUGUAUGAAGGAUUGGAUAAAAUAUAAAUUGUCUCUAAAAUAUUUAAUUGAAUUUAAUUUUUUAAUUAAAAAGUUAAAAUAGAUUAAAAAGACGAGAAGACCCUAUAGAGUUUUAUAUUUUAUUAAUAUAAAUUAUAAAUUAACUUGAAUAAUUUAUAUUAAGAAGAUUAUUUUAUUGGGGUGAUAAAAAAAUUAAAUUAACUUUUUUUAAAAUUUUACAUAGAUAAUUGAAUUAUUGAUCCAUUAAUAUUGAUUAUAAGAAAAAAUUACCUUAGGGAUAACAGCGUAAUUUUUUUUUUUAGUUCAAAUAAAAAAGAGAGUUUGCGACCUCGAUGUUGGAUUAAGAUAAAAUUUAAAUGCAAAAGUUUAAAAUUUUUGAUCUGUUCGAUCAUUAAAAUCUUACAUGAUCUGAGUUCAAACCGGUGUAAGCCAGGUUGGUUUCUAUCUUUUGAUAUUAUUAUUAAUAUUUUAGUACGAAAGGAUCAAAUAUUAUAAUUAAAUUAAAUUAAUUUGAUUUUUAUUAAAGUUAUAAUAUAAUUAUA